UACACACCGCCCGUCACACCAUGGGAGUUUACUGUACCGGAAGUCGGUGCUCCCAACCCCGCAAGGGGAGGAAGCCGCCUAUGGUAUGGUCGAUGACUGGGGUG
Molecule: ribosomal RNA, 104 nt
Filed under: uncultured bacterium
Lineage: Bacteria
Description: partial 16S ribosomal RNA
Rfam family: Bacterial small subunit ribosomal RNA
Source: RNAcentral